UCACCAUUCAGCCUGAAACAGUAUUUGAGCUGUUAUCUGGAAAUGGAUUCUUUCCUCAUAAACUUGUUAUUAAAUGCUGCAUUGUCUCAGCACAGAGGUUGAUGCAGAGGUGCUCCAACUGACUGGGCUGUAACAUGAAGGGUCCUCGAAACCAAACAUAUCAAGGAUACCAAUGAAACCAUCUGUAGCAUGGCGUACAGCAUUGUUGAGGGCUGCCAUGGAC
Molecule: long non-coding RNA, 223 nt
Organism: Cryptotermes secundus
Lineage: Eukaryota; Metazoa; Arthropoda; Insecta; Blattodea; Kalotermitidae
Exons: 3
Source: RefSeq, a predicted model, not a curated record